RNAcentral lists this ribosomal RNA (263 nucleotides) under uncultured bacterium. Its description in RNAcentral is "partial small subunit ribosomal RNA". It matches the Rfam family "Bacterial small subunit ribosomal RNA", at positions 26 to 285 of the family's 1533-position model. The record is from RNAcentral.
AGAUUGAACGCUGGCGGCAUGCCUAACACAUGCAAGUCGAACGGCAGCACAGCAGUAGCAAUACUGUGGGUGGCGAGUGGCGGACGGGUGAGUAAUGCAUCGGGACCUACCCAGACGUGGGGGAUAACGUAGGGAAACUUACGCUAAUACCGCAUACGUCCUACGGGAGAAAGCGGGGGACCUUCGGGCCUCGCGCGUUUGGACGGACCGAUGUUCGAUUAGCUAGUUGGUAAGGUAAUGGCCUACCAAGGCGACGACGGGUA